RNAcentral lists this ribosomal RNA (465 nucleotides) under uncultured bacterium. Its description in RNAcentral is "SSU rRNA". It matches the Rfam family "Bacterial small subunit ribosomal RNA", at positions 26 to 518 of the family's 1533-position model. The record is from RNAcentral.
AGGACUAACGCUGGCGGCGUGCCUAACACAUGCAAGUCGAACGGGGUAGCAAUACCCAGUGGCAGACGGGUGAGUAACACGUGGUCAACCUACCUCUGUGUGGGGGAUAACUAGCCGAAAGGUUAGCUAAUACCGCAUACGAUCGUUUUGAGGCAUCUCGAGACGAUGAAAGGAGCAAUCCGCACGGAGAGGGGACUGCGUCCCAUUAGUUAGUUGGUGGGGUAACGGCCUACCAAGACUCCGAUGGGUAGCUGGCUUGAGAGAGCGACCAGCCACACUGGAACUGAGAAACGGUCCAGACUCCUACGGGAGGCAGCAGUGAGGAAUUUUCCGCAAUGGGCGAAAGCCUGACGGAGCGACGCCGCGUGUGGGAUGAAGGCCUUCGGGUCGUAAACCACUGUCGAAGGGGACGAUAAUGACGGUACCCUUGGAGGAAGCCCCGGCUAACUACGUGCCAACAGCCGC